Girardinichthys multiradiatus is the source of this 348-nucleotide long non-coding RNA. RefSeq lists it as uncharacterized. The transcript is spliced from 3 exons. The record is from RefSeq and is a predicted model, not a curated record. Lineage: Eukaryota; Metazoa; Chordata; Actinopteri; Cyprinodontiformes; Goodeidae.
AAAAGAAGCAGAAUACAGAAGAGGAAGAAUAUGAAGAGACGGAAAAGGAAGACCACACAGAUGAGUCUAAGGUGAGAGAAACAGAGGGUGAGACGUGACAAGAUAGAAAGCAUCAAACAUCAGGUGAUGAAGAAGUGGAAAAAGAAGAAAAGAAGCAGAAUACAGAAGAGGAAGAAUAUGAAGAGACGGAAAAGGAAGACCACACAGAUGAGUCUAAGGUGAGAGAAACAGAGGGUGAGACGUGACAAGAUAGAAAGCAUCAAACAUCAGGUGAUGAAGAAGUGGAAAAAGAAGAAAAGAAGCAGAAUACAGAAGAGGAAGAAUAUGAAGAGACGGAAAAGGAAGACC